GAUGAAGAACGUAGCGAAAUGCGAUACGUAACGUGAAUUGCAGAAUUCAGUGAAUCAUCGAAUCUUUGAACGCACAUUGCGCCCGCCAGCACUCUGGCGGGCAUGCCUGUUCGAGCGUCAUUUCAACCAUCAAGCCCCAGGCUUGCGUUGGAGCCCUGCGGCUGCCGCAGCCUCCUAAAAGCAGUGGCGGGCUCGCUAUCACACCGAGUGCAGUAGAUUACUCUUCGCUCAGGGCGUGCAGCGGGUUCCGGCCGUGAAACCCCCUACUUUUAAAGGUUGACCUCGGAUCAGGUAGGAAUACCCGCUGAACUUAAGCAUAUCAAUAAGCGGAGGA
This 334-nucleotide unclassified non-coding RNA is filed under the name soil metagenome. RNAcentral's name for it is "partial contains 5.8S ribosomal RNA, internal transcribed spacer 2, and large subunit ribosomal RNA". The stretch from base 1 to 120 matches the Rfam family "5.8S ribosomal RNA", at positions 35 to 154 of the family's 154-position model. The record is from RNAcentral.